AUUGAACGCUGGCGGCAUGCCUUACACAUGCAAGUCGAACGGCAGCACGGGUGCUUGCACCUGGUGGCGAGUGGCGAACGGGUGAGUAAUACAUCGGAACAUGUCCUGUAGUGGGGGAUAGCCCGGCGAAAGCCGGAUUAAUACCGCAUACGAUCUACGGAUGAAAGCGGGGGACCUUCGGGCCUCGCGCUAUAGGGUUGGCCGAUGGCUGAUUAGCUAGUUGGUGGGGUAAAGGCCUACCAAGGCGACGAUCAGUAGCUGGUCUGAGAGGACGACCAGCCACACUGGGACUGAGACACGGCCCAGACUCCUACGGGAGGCAGCAGUGGGGACUUUUGGACAAUGGGCGAAAGCCUGAUCCAGCAAUGCCGCGUGUGUGAAGAAGGCCUUCGGGUUGUAAAGCACUUUUGUCCGGAAAGAAAUCCUUGGCCCUAAUACGGUCGGGGGAUGACGGUACCGGAAGAAUAAGCACCGGCUAACUACGUG
RNAcentral lists this ribosomal RNA (486 nucleotides) under uncultured bacterium. RNAcentral's name for it is "partial 16S ribosomal RNA". It matches the Rfam family "Bacterial small subunit ribosomal RNA", at positions 30 to 507 of the family's 1533-position model. The record is from RNAcentral.